Molecule: unclassified non-coding RNA, 306 nt
Filed under: plant metagenome
Description: partial contains 5.8S ribosomal RNA, internal transcribed spacer 2, and large subunit ribosomal RNA
Rfam family: 5.8S ribosomal RNA (bases 1-105)
Source: RNAcentral
GAAAUGCGAUAAGUAAUGUGAAUUGCAGAAUUCAGUGAAUCAUCGAAUCUUUGAACGCACAUUGCGCCCGCCAGUAUUCUGGCGGGCAUGCCUGUCCGAGCGUCAUUUCAACCAUCAAGCCCCCGGGCUUGUGUUGGGGACCUGCGGCUGCCCGCAGGCCCUGAAAACCAGUGGCGGGCUCGCUGUCACACCGAGCGUAGUAGCAAUCACCUCGCUCAGGGCGUGCUGCGGGUUCCGGCCGUUAAAAAGCCUUACAAAACCCAAGGUUGACCUCGGAUCAGGUAGGAAGACCCGCUGAACUUAAGC